This is a non-coding RNA of Triticum aestivum (bread wheat), 134 nucleotides long. The record is from Rfam. Lineage: Eukaryota; Viridiplantae; Streptophyta; Magnoliopsida; Poales; Poaceae.
UAUGUACUCCCUCGGUCCGAAAUUCUUGUCUUAGAUUUAUCUAGAUACGGAUGUAUCUAACACUAAAACGUGAAUAGAUACAUCCGUAUGUAGACAAAUCUAAGAUAAGAAUUUUGGGACGGAGGGAGUAUGUU